This 444-nucleotide ribosomal RNA is filed under the name Triticum aestivum (bread wheat). RNAcentral describes it as "partial small subunit ribosomal RNA". Lineage: Eukaryota; Viridiplantae; Streptophyta; Magnoliopsida; Poales; Poaceae. The record is from RNAcentral.
AUGGUCCUGAUUCAUUACGGCGUCCAGUACCUGAUCGAGCACCCUCCUCCACCCAACACCGACAGCCAGUACCUUGAGCUCGACACCCAUGUCGCCCUCGCCAUGUAUGCCACCCUCACAGAUCAGAUCGUUGACCACGUGAUCGGCGCCACCACCACUUUCAAUCUCUGGACUCGAAUCCGGGAUUACUUCCUCGCCAAUCGUGCGGCUUGGUAUAUGAUGCUCAAUCGUCAGUACCGCAAUCUCAAACAGGGCGAUCUCUCUGUUGACGAGUACGCGCGCCGCAUGAAGCUACUCACCGCGGGUCUCGCCGACAACGACCAUGCGGUCUCCGAGGUGGAUCUCACGCAGUUCCUCCGCGGCAUCGACGGCCGUCUUGACACCAACUGGGUCGUGCUGGGGGACACGGUCCCCUUGCCCCCAUUCGAGACCGUGUUCUCGCGC